Molecule: ribosomal RNA, 1356 nt
Filed under: uncultured bacterium
Lineage: Bacteria
Description: bacterial SSU rRNA
Rfam family: Bacterial small subunit ribosomal RNA
Source: RNAcentral
GAUGAACGCUAGCUACAGGCUUAACACAUGCAAGUCGAGGGGCAGCGCGCUGGUGCAGCAAUGCAUUGGUGGCGGCGACCGGCGGAUGGGUGAGUAACGCGUAUCCAACCUGCCCCCGGCCCGGGCACAGCCCAUGGAAACGUGGAUUAACGCCCGAUGCGCCUAAGAGCCGCAUGGCUUUUAGGUGAAACAGGCAGGGGAUGGGGAUGCGUCCCAUUAGGCAGCAGGCGGGGUAACGGCCCACCUGGCCGACGAUGGGUAGGGGUUCUGAGAGGAAGGUCCCCCACAUUGGGACUGAGACACGGCCCAAACUCCUACGGGAGGCAGCAGUGAGGAAUAUUGGUCAAUGGGCGUGAGCCUGAACCAGCCAAGUAGCGUGGAGGAAGGAUGCCCUACGGGUUGUAAACUCCUUUAGUGCGGGAAUAACGUGCGCCACGUGUGGUGCAGUGCAGGUACCGCAAGAAUAAGGGCCGGCUAAUUCCGUGCCAGCAGCCGCGGUAAUACGGAAGGCCCGAGCGUUAUCCGGAUUUAUUGGGUUUAAAGGGAGCGCAGGCGGGAGCGUAAGUCAGCUGUUAAAAUGCGGCGCCCAACGCCGUAGUGCAGUUGAAACUGCGUUUCUUGAGUCCGCAAGAGGCAGGCGGAAUUUGUGGUGUAGCGGUGAAAUGCAUAGAUAUCACGAAGAACUCCGAUUGCGAAGGCAGCAUACCAGUGCGCCACUGACGCUAAAGCUCGAAAGCGCGGGUAUCGAACAGGAUUAGAUACCCUGGUAGUCCGCGCGGUAAACGAUGGAUGCCCGCUGUGCGGCCUUUUAUGGUUGCGCGGCCAAGCGAAAGCGUUAAGCAUCCCACCUGGGGAGUACGCCGGCAACGGUGAAACUCAAAGGAAUUGACGGGGGCCCGCACAAGCGGAGGAACAUGUGGUUUAAUUCGAUGAUACGCGAGGAACCUUACCCGGGCUUGAAUUGCAGCUGCAUGGGGCAGAGAUGCCCUUUCCCUUCGGGGCUGCUGUGAAGGUGCUGCAUGGUUGUCGUCAGCUCGUGCCGUGAGGUGUCGGCUUAAGUGCCAUAACGAGCGCAACCCCCCUCCCCGGUUGCCAUCGGGCAAUGCCGGGAACUCUGGAGACACUGCCAUCGCAAGAUGUGAGGAAGGCGGGGACGACGUCAAAUCAGCACGGCCCUUACGUCCGGGGCUACACACGUGUUACAAUGGGGGGCACAGCGAGUUGGGCGCCGGCGACGGUGUCCGGAUCAAGAAAUCCCCUCCCAGUUCGGACUGGAGCCUGCAACCCGGCUCCACGAAGCUGGAUUCGCUAGUAAUCGCGCAUCAGCCAUGGCGCGGUGAAUACGUUCCCGGGCCU